RNAcentral lists this small RNA (131 nucleotides) under Escherichia coli. RNAcentral describes it as "RtT sRNA". It matches the Rfam family "RtT RNA". From Rfam's summary of the family: This family represents a bacterial cis-regulatory element known as RtT RNA. The exact function of RtT is unknown although it is thought that it may be involved in changing the cellular response in relation to amino acid starvation. The record is from RNAcentral. Lineage: Bacteria; Pseudomonadati; Pseudomonadota; Gammaproteobacteria; Enterobacterales; Enterobacteriaceae.
AUUCUGCCCAUGCGGGGAAGGAUGAGAAGCUUCGACCAAGGUUCGACCCGAGGCCAGCGAGAGAGCGUUGCCGCAGGCAACGACCCGUAGGGCGAAGCGCGCAGCGCUGAGUAAUCCUUCCCCCACCACCA